AACGAACGCUGGCGGCAUGCCUAACACAUGCAAGUCGAACGAGACCUUCGGGUCUAGUGGCGCACGGGUGUGUAACGCGUGGGAACCUGCCUUUAGGUUCGGAAUAACUCAGAGAAAUUUGAGCUAAUACCGGAUGAUGUCUUCGGACCAAAGAUUUAUCGCCUUUAGAUGGGCCCGCGUUGGAUUAGCUAGUUGGUGGGGUAAAGGCCUACCAAGGCGACGAUCCAUAGCUGGUCUGAGAGGAUGAUCAGCCACACUGGGACUGAGACACGGCCCAGACUCCUACGGGAGGCAGCAGUGGGGAAUAUUGGACAAUGGGCGAAAGCCUGAUCCAGCAAUGCCGCGUGAGUGAUGAAGGCCUUAGGGUUGUAAAGCUCUUUUACCCGAGAUGAUAAUGACAGUAUCGGGAGAAUAAGCUCCGGCUAACUCCGUG
RNAcentral lists this ribosomal RNA (433 nucleotides) under uncultured bacterium. RNAcentral's name for it is "partial 16S ribosomal RNA". It matches the Rfam family "Bacterial small subunit ribosomal RNA", at positions 29 to 507 of the family's 1533-position model. The record is from RNAcentral.